UACAUGGGGUGCAAACGUUGCUCGGAAUUAUUGGGCGUAAAGCGCACGUAGGCGGUUCGUUAAGUCGGAUGUGAAAGCCCUCGGCUCAACUGAGGAAGUGCACCCGAAACUGGCGAGCUUGAGUACGAAAGAGGAUCGCGGAAUUCCCGGUGUAGAGGUGAAAUUCGUAGAUAAGUCGGGGAGGAACACCGGGUGGCGAAGGCGGCGAUCUGGGUCGAUACUGAACGCGUGAGGUGGCGAAAGCGUGGGGAGCAAACAGG
RNAcentral lists this ribosomal RNA (260 nucleotides) under uncultured bacterium. RNAcentral's name for it is "partial 16S ribosomal RNA". It matches the Rfam family "Bacterial small subunit ribosomal RNA", at positions 524 to 776 of the family's 1533-position model. The record is from RNAcentral.